CUGCAGGGGAGCCAGAAGUUGAGAUCAUCACCAAGUCCCUGAUGCAUGAGAGUCUCCAUAAUCUGCAAAAAGACAUUGUGAGGUGGGGGCGUGAGCCUUAUACAGCCUGGUUACUUUGGGUCUGGGACCUUAUGGGUACAGGUGUGCAGCUGGAUGGUGAUGAGGCAAGGACCCUUGACCCAGGACUCAUGUGUGAAUCAGGUAUUCGUCAGGGAGCCAGGGCCCCUUUCCCUCUGGGAGCGGCUUUUGAUGAGUGUAAGAGAGAGGUUUGUCCACAGAGAGAGAAUGGAAGAGCACUAUCAUAGAAGGGACUGGAAAACCAUUGAGGAAGGGAUCCAACAGCUGAGAGAAGUGGCGAUAUUAGAGGUCCUUUUUGGGAGGGGUGGACAGCAUGAUAAUGACCUCGACAAAGUCAGGUGCACUGGGCAGAUGUUGUGGAGUCUGGCAAAUCUAGGGCCACAUGAAUACACCAGCUUCAUUGCAACGAUUAAUGCUGAUAACAACCGAGAGAUGGUGGGUUCUGUUGCCACCAGGCUUAGAAAUUUCAACAGUAUGGUCCAUGGCCCGCUGCAGGCUUGGGUUUCUGUUGUGAUUAAGGAACUCAAAGAGAAGAUGAGGGAAAUAAGGGAAGAGAUGAGGAAGAGCAGCUUCCAUAUGGCACCAGUGCAGGUCACAAGCCCAAAACUCCAAGCCCAGCGUCCCCCAGCUAGAGAGAUAGGGUACACCCCACGAGCUGAGCUGUGGUUCUUUCUACGUGACCAUGGAGAAGACAUGGGAAAAUGGGAUGAGAAACCCACUUCUGCCCUGGCAGCACAAGUGCGUCAACUCAGGCAGGGAACCAUUAACCAGAAAAGCUCCACUAAAGUAAAGGUGGCCUCAACCUCCCAUGACCAAACUGCCAGAUAUUACAGAAAAGAGGAUGAUCCCCUUAAAGGAACCUCUAGCAUGUAUGCCCAGGGAGGAGAGGAUGACCAGUGCUAGAGGGGCCCUGCCUCUAGCCAGGAAGAGGCACGGGAAAACCGGGUCUUUUGGAUGGUGUGGAUCCGAUGGCCUGGCACAUCAGAGCCACAAAAAUACGAAGCUUUAGUUGAUACUGGUGCACAGUGUACCCUAAUGCCAUCAGGACAUGUGGGGGCAGAACCUGUUUCCAUUGCUGGGGUGACGGGGGGAUANNNNNNNNNNNN
This 1184-nucleotide long non-coding RNA is filed under the name Cyanistes caeruleus (blue tit). RNAcentral describes it as "lncRNA (ENSCCEG00000003225.1)". The record is from RNAcentral. Lineage: Eukaryota; Metazoa; Chordata; Aves; Passeriformes; Paridae.